CCUACCUUUGUUAGGGUGCAGUUCAAAUAAAAUUUAAAGGUAAAGACACUCUGCAGAUUUAAAGAUAAACAAUAUAAAUUAGCUCCUUCUUUCAGGGGCCUGGCGCAAAUGACGUCUCUGUGAUAUCUUGGCGCCGUUCAGCAAGCCGCUGUCUUUAUAGCUAGAACGGCAAAUCUGAAAAGAAGAAAAUUGGCAAAACUAUCCAAUCCUUGUAUUGAUAAAAAAUAUGUUGACAGAGUGAAGCUUCAAGCGCAAGUACAAAACAAGUUCUCUUUCAAAUAUGCGGCGAAUGUGCUUCCUAACCUGAAAGAAAACACACCAAGCCUCGGGCAUCGUGUGUGGUUAAGAGGAGGCCUGGUGGGCUCACUCUUCAGUGUUCCUGCCUGUCUUAGAACGUGCCACCAGCAGCAGGUGAGUCUUGAGGGUCUGGAAGGAAAGACCUACCCUCUGAUUUACUGAUUUAUGGAUUCGGAGCCUAGGGAGCCUUAGGGCUCAGAUGGAUCGAGUGGGAGCUAUUUCUGCCGAAUGUGGCAAUAGGAACUGGUCCCUGGAGUUAGAGUGUUAAGUUUGUAUUCUGGGGGGAGGUGGGGCAAGACCCGCUGGGAUAGAAAGCGAUUUUGGAAUUUUUAUAUUUUGAAGAACUUUACUUGUAAAUCCUAUUUUUUAGUGAGUUCUGUAAUGUACAUAAGACAUAUGUAAUAGAACAUGAUUAAAACUGAUACAUAAUCCAAAUGAAUAAAUACUAUGUUUGUGUGUAUAUGUGUGUGUGU
RNAcentral lists this long non-coding RNA (770 nucleotides) under Sus scrofa (pig). Its description in RNAcentral is "lncRNA (ENSSSCG00070005224.1)". Lineage: Eukaryota; Metazoa; Chordata; Mammalia; Artiodactyla; Suidae. The record is from RNAcentral.